UACGUAGGGUGCGAGCGUUGUCCGGAAUUAUUGGGCGUAAAGAGCGUGUAGGCGGCCAGGUAGGUCUGCUGUGAAAACUCGAGGCUCAACCUCGAGACGUCGGCGGAAACCAUCUGGCUAGAGUCCGGAAGAGGAGAGUGGAAUUCCUGGUGUAGCGGUGAAAUGCGCAGAUAUCAGGAAGAACACCCGUGGCGAAGGCGGCUCUCUGGGACGGUACUGACGCUGAGACGCGAAAGCGUGGGAGCGAACAGG
Molecule: ribosomal RNA, 252 nt
Filed under: uncultured bacterium
Lineage: Bacteria
Description: partial 16S ribosomal RNA
Rfam family: Bacterial small subunit ribosomal RNA
Source: RNAcentral